CGAGCGAACUACACGGUCGCGGCGCGCUUCACUGCGCGAUGAGGAAAGUCCGGGCAUCACAGGGCAGGACGCCUGAUAACGUCAGGUAAAGGCGACUUUAAGGAAAGUGCAACAGAAAUAGACCGCUGCCAAAGCGCAGUAAGGAUGGAAAGGCGAGGUAAGAGCUCACCGACGGGACGGUAACGCCCCGUGCCAUGUAAACCCCGUCCGAUGCAAGUUUGGGCUGUGUUCAAAUAGGGUGCCCGCCCGAGCAUAGCCGUGAAUAACGCUUG
This 272-nucleotide RNase P RNA is filed under the name Clostridiales bacterium. RNAcentral's name for it is "partial RNase P RNA component class A". It matches the Rfam family "Bacterial RNase P class A", at positions 1 to 282 of the family's 367-position model. Rfam says of the family: Ribonuclease P (RNase P) is a ubiquitous endoribonuclease, found in archaea, bacteria and eukarya as well as chloroplasts and mitochondria. Lineage: Bacteria; Bacillati; Bacillota; Clostridia; Eubacteriales. The record is from RNAcentral.